UCAAGCUACAAAGAGCACAAGGGGAAUGCCUUGGCACCGAGAGCCGAAGAAGGACGUGACUAACUGCGAUAAGCUGCGGGGAGCCGUAAGUGGGCUUUGAUCCGCAGAUUUCCGAAUGGAGCAAUCCGGCAAGAGGAAAGUCUUGUCAUCAUAUACUGAAUACAUAGGUAUAUGAGGGGAACCGCCUGAACUGAAACAUCUAAGUAGGGCGAGGAAGAGAAAUCAACUGAGAUUUCGUAAGUAGUGGCGAGCGAACGCGGAAGAGGCCAAACCGAGAGUAGUAAUACUUUCGGGGUUCGGACAGAAUACGGUAUUGUAAAGGUUUAGUGGAAUGGAAUGGGAAGUCCAACCGAAGAAGGUGAGAGUCCUGUACACGAAAAACCUGAACAGCCAUCUGUAUCCAGAGUACCGCCGGACACGUGAAACCCGGUGGGAAUACGGGGGGACCAUCCUCCAAGCCUAAAUACUACUCGGUGACCGAUAGUGAAGAAGUACUGUGAAGGAAAGGUGAAAAGUACCCCUGACGGGGAGUGAAAAAGAACCUGAAACCUUGUGUUUACAAGCACCGAAAGCUCAUCAAAGAGCGAUCGGGUACCUUUUGUAGAAUGGUCCGGCGAGUGAAUGUAACCGGCGAGGUUAAGCACCUAAGGUGUGAAGCCGCAGCGAGAGCAAGUCUGAAAAGGGCGUAUGAAGUCGGUUGUAUUCGACCCGAAACCGGGUGACCUACCCAUGGUCAGGUUGAAGUAAAGGUAAAACUUUAUGGAGGACCGAACCGACUCCCGUUGAAAUGGUAGCGGAUGAACUGUGGGUAGCGGAGAAAUUCCAAUCGAACCCGGAGAUAGCUGGUUCUCCCCGAAAUAGUUUUAGGACUAGCCUCAAGUUAGAUACCUGGAGGUAAAGCACUGAAUAGCCUAGCGGCCGAGAGGUUAGCGAAGCUUAUCAAACUCAGAAUGCCAGAGUAUUGAUGCUUGGGAGUCAGACAGUGUCAGAUAAAUGUCAUUGUCAAAAGGGAAACAGCCCAGAUCUACAGCUAAGGUCCCAAAGUCAGGUUAAGUGGAAAACGAUGUGGAGAUACGCAGACAACCAGGAUGUUGGCUCAGAAGCAGCCACUCAUUCAAAGAGUGCGUAAUAGCUCACUGGUCGAGCGUCUCUGCGCGGAGAAUUUAACGGGGCUAAACCUGACACCGAAGCUUAGGCAAUGUAGUAAUACAUUGGGUAGGGGAGCGUUGUAUACGCGGUGAAACAGUAGCGCAAGCGGCUGUGGAGUGUAUAGAAGUGAGAAUGCCGGAAUGAGUAGCGCGAAUGCAGUGAGAAUCUGCAUGGCCGAAAGCCUCAGGUUUCUGGAGGAAGGUUCGUCCGCUCCAGGUUAGUCGGGAGCUAAGGUGAGGCCUAACGGCGUAGCCGAUGCACAGACGGUAGAGAUUCCGUCACCACCAAAAGAGUUAAACACAGGGACACAUUUGAAGUCUCGGAGCCGGGUGUUGGUUCCGGUAGCGAUCGAGGGAAGUUAGUACCGAAGUCCGGGAUGGAAGAUGGCGAGAAAAGCUGUGUGUAUUUCUGCGGUGCCCGUACCGCAAACCGACACAGGUAGGUAGGAAGAAGAUUCUAAGGCCAACGGGAGAAGGGUUGUUAAGGAACUCGGCAAGUUGACCCCGUAACUUCGGAAUAAGGGGUGCUCAUGAAAGUGAGCCGCAGAGAAUAGGCCCAGGCAACUGUUUACCAAAAACACAGGUUUGUGCUAAAUCGAAAGAUGACGUAUACGAGCUGACGCCUGCCCGGUGCUGGAAGGUUAAAAGGAGAUGUGCAAGCAUUGAAUUGAAGCCCCAGUGAACGGCGGCCGUAACUAUAACGGUCCUAAGGUAGCGAAAUUCCUUGUCAGGUAAG
Molecule: ribosomal RNA, 1884 nt
Filed under: human gut metagenome
Description: bacterial LSU rRNA
Rfam family: Bacterial large subunit ribosomal RNA
Source: RNAcentral